UUUUUUUUAAUUUCCAAACCACCAUCGCGUAUCUUUAGAAGAGGUUUAUUAGCCCGGGAUCAAACUUCUGUAACUAUUUUGGGCCCUUUGUCUCCAUCGAGAGUCAACUUCCAUCAAGAAUUGAACAUCUUCUCUUUAAUCAUCGCGGAUCACUAAUUCGCGGCUAACCACAUUCGAAACCAAUUCUUUGCUAACCCAUCAAAAAUUCAACUUCACCAUCGAGAGCACCUUAAGGGGAACACCAACCCUUCAUCAAGAAUUCACCACCAUCGUGUGUCUUAUAAAGAGGUUGUCCAAGAUUUUUUUUAAUUUCCAAACCACCAUCGCGUAUCUUUAGAAGAGGUUUAUUAGCCCGGGAUCAAACUUCUGUAACUAUUUUGGGCCCUUUGUCUCCAUCGAGAGUCAACUUCCAUCAAGAAUUGAACAUCUUCUCUUUAAUCAUCGCGGAUCACCAAUUCCCGUCUAACCACUCUCGAAACCAAUUCUUGGCUAACCCAUCAAAAAUUCAACAUCACCAUCUAGAGCACCUUAAGGGGAACACCAACCUUUCAUCAAGAAUUCACCAUCAUCGCGUGUCUUUUGAAGUUGUCCAAGAUUUUGUUAAUUUCCAAACCACCAUCACGUAUCUUUGGAAGAGGUUUACUAGCCCG
Molecule: long non-coding RNA, 650 nt
Filed under: Panax ginseng (ginseng)
Lineage: Eukaryota; Viridiplantae; Streptophyta; Magnoliopsida; Apiales; Araliaceae
Description: long non-coding RNA (PGIN_LNC005120)
Source: RNAcentral